GAAAAGGCCAAGUUAAGACAACAUUACAACGGAAACAACAACCCCACCAUAUCUUAUUUUCGUUCGUUUCUUCAUUUCAUUUUCUUGUUUUGGUUCGUUUUCCGGUAAAACCGUGUCGGAAUCAACAGACAGUUACAUAUAGAAAAGCAAAAGAAAGGUCUCAGCCUACCGAUGGCACAAGUUCUAUCUCCACCAAUGGCUAUCACCGGCCCAACGCCAAUGCAAUUCAUGGCGGUCUUCUUGGUCGAAUC
RNAcentral lists this long non-coding RNA (251 nucleotides) under Arabidopsis lyrata. RNAcentral's name for it is "long non-coding RNA (ALYR_LNC000042)". The record is from RNAcentral. Lineage: Eukaryota; Viridiplantae; Streptophyta; Magnoliopsida; Brassicales; Brassicaceae.